Molecule: transfer RNA, 67 nt
Filed under: Olethrius laevipennis
Lineage: Eukaryota; Metazoa; Arthropoda; Insecta; Coleoptera; Cerambycidae
Description: tRNA-Tyr
Rfam family: tRNA
About the family: Transfer RNA (tRNA) molecules are approximately 80 nucleotides in length.
Source: RNAcentral
GGUGAAAUGGCUGAGGUGCAGGCAAUAAAUUGUAAAUUUAUUAACGAAAAUUGAUUUUCUUUUACCA